CAGGUGCUGCAUGGCUGUCGUCAGCUCGUGUCGUGAGAUGUUCGGGUUAAGUCCCGCAACGAGCGCAACCCUCGUCCUUAGUUGCCAGCAUUAAGUUGGGCACUCUAAGGAGACUGCCGGUGUUAAACCGGAGGAAGCGGGAUGACGUCAAGUCCUCAUGGCCCUUAUGUCCAGGGCUACACACGUGCUACAAUGGCCGGUACAAAGGGUAGCAAGACCGCGAGGUGGAGCCAACCCCAAAAAGCCGGUCUCAGUUCGGAUUGGAGUCUGCAACUCGACUCCAUGAAGUUGGAAUCGCUAGUAAUCGUGGAUCAGCAUGCCACGGUGAAUACGUUCCCGGGCCUU
Molecule: ribosomal RNA, 345 nt
Filed under: uncultured Desulfuromonas sp.
Lineage: Bacteria; Pseudomonadati; Thermodesulfobacteriota; Desulfuromonadia; Desulfuromonadales; Desulfuromonadaceae
Description: bacterial SSU rRNA
Rfam family: Bacterial small subunit ribosomal RNA
Source: RNAcentral